This 284-nucleotide long non-coding RNA is filed under the name Elaeis guineensis (African oil palm). Its description in RNAcentral is "long non-coding RNA (EGUI_LNC000852)". Lineage: Eukaryota; Viridiplantae; Streptophyta; Magnoliopsida; Arecales; Arecaceae. The record is from RNAcentral.
AGUGAGUUGAAAGAGAUAAUUGCGAGUCGCAAAAGUACAUCGGCUUGAGCAUUUUCUAUCUUUGGGAUGUGAAAGAUCUCAAACUUGACCUAAAAGCCAAAAAAAGGGGCGGAGAGGAGACCCUGGAGCUCUUUAGUACUGGGGCCAUCUUCCGGCAAAACCUUCCACAGCAGAGAAUGAUGACAAAAUGCAAAGUAAAAGUUUGGUUGAAAGUGACCCUAUAUAUAUAGGAUCCUUCAACAGUCCAAAUAAAAUCAAUCAAAUCUGAAUCUCAUCAGAUGAUG